RNAcentral lists this ribosomal RNA (460 nucleotides) under uncultured bacterium. RNAcentral describes it as "partial 16S ribosomal RNA". It matches the Rfam family "Bacterial small subunit ribosomal RNA", at positions 338 to 795 of the family's 1533-position model. The record is from RNAcentral.
CCUACGGGAGGCAGCAGUGAGGAAUAUUGGUCAAUGGGCGUAAGACUGAACCAGCCAAGUCGCGUGAGGGAUGAAGGUUCUAUGGAUCGUAAACCUCUUUUGUCAGGGAAUAAAGUGUGGGACGUGUCCUCUUUUGUAUGUACCUGAUGAAUAAGGAUCGGCUAACUCCGUGCCAGCAGCCGCGGUAAUACGGAGGAUCCGAGCGUUAUCCGGAUUUAUUGGGUUUAAAGGGUGCGUAGGCGGCCUUUUAAGUCAGCGGUGAAAGUCUGUGGCUCAACCAUAGGAUUGCCGUUGAAACUGGCGGGCUUGAGUAUGUUUGAGGCAGGCGGAAUGCGUGGUGUAGCGGUGAAAUGCUUAGAUAUCGCGCAGAACCCCGAUUGCGAAGGCAGCCUGCCAAGCCCUCACUGACGCUGAGGCACGAAAGCGUGGGGAUCAAACAGGAUUAGAUACCCUUGUAGUC